Long non-coding RNA from Rhincodon typus (whale shark), 480 nucleotides. RefSeq lists it as uncharacterized. Lineage: Eukaryota; Metazoa; Chordata; Chondrichthyes; Orectolobiformes; Rhincodontidae. The record is from RefSeq and is a predicted model, not a curated record. The transcript is spliced from 3 exons.
GUCAAGGCUUGCCCAUGACCAUCAAUAAUCAAAGAUUAUUUAUUCAAAAAUCUAUUUUCAUCACAGUCAAGGGAUGAACUGAGGAUGUGGACUUUACCACUAGGAUACAACAACAGCAGAAUCACUGGGCAACAACAACCAAUCAGAGAGGGAUGUACCUUCAGAACAACAGGAGUCUCUGGAAGCCUGGGAGAUAUACCAGAAGAGGUUCCUGAGAUGAGGAAACAGUCUUUUAGGAAUCACUAUGCUCCUGAGAGACUGAUCGUGUCAAUGUAGCCAACGGAUGGAAAGCCUUGUGUAGGGGGAGUGGUAGUUUUUCAUGUUGUUGUAAAUAUUCCUGACUACGUACAUAUGUUGGCUAUAAUGCCUGUAUAAUCCUUUUAAUGAUUAUAUACAUGUUGAUUAAUGGGAUAUGUUUAAAAUAAAGGGGGAGGGGUGCUAUGUAUGUAGUUGGUGUGCUGCCCCUUUAAAAGAACUGAU